RNAcentral lists this non-coding RNA (97 nucleotides) under Lachnospiraceae bacterium 1_4_56FAA. RNAcentral's name for it is "Purine riboswitch aptamer". It matches the Rfam family "Purine riboswitch aptamer". Rfam says of the family: Riboswitches are metabolite binding domains within certain messenger RNAs that serve as precision sensors for their corresponding targets. Allosteric rearrangement of mRNA structure is mediated by ligand binding, and this results in modulation of gene expression. Lineage: Bacteria; Bacillati; Bacillota; Clostridia; Lachnospirales; Lachnospiraceae. The record is from Rfam by way of RNAcentral. RNAcentral also lists the same sequence under 1 other name.
UAAUAAAGCACUGCUGACUUAUGUAUAUGCUGAGGAUUGGCUCAGUGUUUCUACCAACUACCGUAAAGAGUUGACUACAUAACCUUGUGUGGUCGCU